RNAcentral lists this ribosomal RNA (253 nucleotides) under uncultured bacterium. RNAcentral describes it as "partial 16S ribosomal RNA". It matches the Rfam family "Bacterial small subunit ribosomal RNA", at positions 524 to 776 of the family's 1533-position model. The record is from RNAcentral.
GACGGAGGGUGCUAGCGUUGUUCGGAAUUACUGGGCGUAAAGGGCGCGUAGGCGGCCUGGUCAGUCGGAUGUGAAAGCCCGGGGCUCAACCCCGGAACUGCCUUCAAAACUCCCAGUCUGGAGGUCGAGAGAGGUGAGUGGAAUUCCGAGUGUAGAGGUGAAAUUCGUAGAUAUUCGGAGGAACACCAGUGGCGAAGGCGGCUCACUGGCUCGAUACUGACGCUGAGGUGCGAAAGCGUGGGGAGCAAACAGG